Molecule: long non-coding RNA, 589 nt
Filed under: Homo sapiens (human)
Lineage: Eukaryota; Metazoa; Chordata; Mammalia; Primates; Hominidae
Description: non-protein coding lnc-ATOH7-3:3
Source: RNAcentral
GAUGAAGUGGACUCUGUUAUUUGUGUCUUUCUUUACAAGUGAGGAAAUAUUCAGUCAGUGUGCUGGAAAGUUCUACAGAUUUCGCCAUCAGACUAUCCAUUCCUAUUCUUGAAAAAUCUGCAGUGCUGGAGUUAUUUGCAAUUCCCCCCCGCCAAUCUUUAAAUAAUUGUCUCAGAGAUAUAGAUAGAUAUAGAUUGCCCACGGGUGAUUUUUUUAAUCCCGGUUACCACUUGUAAUAAAAGAGGUUGAAUUUUGGAGAGAAUUGAUAUUUAAAUUGCAUGUUUUUUUUUCUGUAUUAUAAUUAUGCACAUUGAUUUAGUUUUAAAAUUAGUGAGGUUGGAAUGUUAGUAUUUUGAUUUGAAAUCUGGGAUCUUUGGAGGUGAUUUAAGAUUAUGGUUUGGUAAGAGAAUCUUCAUUUUCUCUCUGGGCUAAAGAGUAAUUGGGAGAGUCGUUUAAAUUGUGGAAAAUUGCUUUAAAUUUCCAUUAUUGGUUUUAUUUCUGUUACAGAUAAGAACUCCAUUUUCUGUUGAUGUGGAGACAUAGGGUACCUCCAACUUUCCGGGGUUUCAGAAGAGAAUUUUUUAUUGAA